CAAGUCGAACGGCAGCACGGAGAGCUUGCUCUCUGGUGGCGAGUGGCGAACGGGUGAGUAAUAUAUCGGAACGUGUCCGAUAAUGGGGGAUAACGAGUCGAAAGAUUCGCUAAUACCGCAUACGCCCUACGGGGGAAAGCAGGGGAUCGUAAGACCUUGCGUUAAUGGAGCGGCCGAUAUCUGAUUAGCUUGUUGGUGAGGUAAAGGCUCACCAAGGCGACGAUCAGUAGCUGGUUUGAGAGAACGACCAGCCACACUGGAACUGAGACACGGUCCAGACUCCUACGGGAGGCAGCAGUGGGGAAUUUUGGACAAUGGGGGCAACCCUGAUCCAGCCAUUCCGCGUGAGUGAAGAAGGCCUUCGGGUUGUAAAGCUCUUUCGCAAGGGAAGAAAACUUAUGAUCGAAUAAAUCAUGAGGUUGACGGUACCUUGAUAAGAAGCACCGGCUAACUACGUGCCAGCAGCCGCGGUAAUACGUAGGGUGCGAGCGUUAAUCGGAAUUACUGGGCGUAAAGCGUGCGCAGGCGGUUUUGUAAGUCGGAUGUGAAAUCCCCGGGCUCAACCUGGGAACUGCGUUCGAAACUGCAAGGCUAGAGUGUGUCAGAGGGGGGUAGAAUUCCACGUGUAGCAGUGAAAUGCGUAGAGAUGUGGAGGAAUACCAAUGGCGAAGGCAGCCCCCUGGGAUAACACUGACGCUCAUGCACGAAAGCGUGGGGAGCAAACAGGAUUAGAUACCCUGGUAGUCCACGCCCUAAACGAUGUCUACUAGUUGUUGGUGGAGUAAAAUCCAUGAGUAACGCAGCUAACGCGUGAAGUAGACCGCCUGGGGAGUACGGUCGCAAGAUUAAAACUCAAAGGAAUUGACGG
This 868-nucleotide ribosomal RNA is filed under the name uncultured bacterium. RNAcentral describes it as "bacterial SSU rRNA". It matches the Rfam family "Bacterial small subunit ribosomal RNA", at positions 58 to 916 of the family's 1533-position model. The record is from RNAcentral.